This 314-nucleotide signal recognition particle RNA is filed under the name Methanomicrobia archaeon. RNAcentral describes it as "signal recognition particle sRNA". It matches the Rfam family "Archaeal signal recognition particle RNA". The record is from RNAcentral. Lineage: Archaea; Methanobacteriati; Methanobacteriota; Methanomicrobia.
GUGCGGGCUAGCCUGGAGGGUUAGGCGUCCUCUGUCACUCGAAAUCGCCGAUAUGCGAGGGGCGAAGCCUGAGGAAGGCUCUGUAGUUGUCAGCUUCAGCUCAUGGUUGGACGAGGAAGCACCGCCCUGCGGGGUUGACGGUGGCCUGGCAUCAGGCUGGAGGGCCUGGUGCCUUGCCUUUGCCACGGAUACCGGUUUAGGCCCGGAAGGGAGCGGACUCACUGUGGGCGUUGGCGCUCGGAGGAUAGCGGUGUGGAGAAAGACCAUGAGGGUCUGGUUGGCGGCUUAGGGGUCGACCAAGGGCGUGCCCGCAC